UGGAAGUCUUCCAGGAUUACUCACAGGUGGUUCAAAUUUUGUCUUGGAGUCAAAACUUGCCUUGAGAUUUGUCUCCAAGGCAAGAUUUGAACUAUCUGUGAGUAAUACUGUGAGACUUGAAGGCACCAGUGGCCAAAAGCUGUUUUCUUACAGAGUUCCUCAGCAAGGACAAGGUGCAUCAUUCCUGCCAGGCACCUGGCCAGGAGGGCUGUCACCAGGAGUAGGGACCUCUGCUAAGGCCAGCAGCAAGGGGAGCAGCGUGGUCCGGAAACACAAGAGGAGAAGGACAAAAUGCCAAGGAAAUGACAUAAGAACUUGUCUUUGCACAACAGGGAACCAGGCUUGGGGAAGGAAGCAACCUUCAAACAUCUCACCGUGCUUUGGUAACACAAGCUGUACUCAAAGACUCCACACUGGUGACGUUGCAAGUACCACACAGCAUUUGUUUUUCUGGGUGGUAAAUUGAAUGGACGUGUCCUGAAGGCUGUGAGGGUUGUGCUGUACAGACUGGUUUGGCUGGGUUGGUGCUUUACUGUGGUUGAUAGAUUUUUAUCAGAUGCUUUUACUUGUUAAAUUUUCCUCGGUUGUGGGAACAAUCCAGCAAAUAGUAAAAAUGAUGGAGCACCAGGAGACAUGCAGCCAAGGAGAUCAUUUGUUUGGCUGGAUCCCUUCCUGCACAAGGGAGGCUUUGUGUGAGCUCACAGAAGAGCCGUGUUCAUCUUGCUGUGGGCAGAACUGGCAGCAGGCUUCAGGCUUUGUCUCCAUGCAGAGUCAGGCUGGCUUGGUUCUCCACAGAGCCGAAAACUCAUUAUUUCCGAGGUUACGGCCAGGCUGCUGGGAGGCUACAGCUCCUUGUGAGAAGUGCCUGUCUCCCAGCAGCAUUGGCAAGGAGGCAGCCAGGCCUUUGCACAAAGGAAGAGGUUUGUGCUGGUCUCAGAAAGGAAUUCCAUGCUGCCUGUGAGAGCUGCCAUGGGGGUCGUGCUUCUUUGGCAGUGCUGACCUCCUCGGAGAGCUGCAAAGCUGGGGAAACCCAUGGCCCGUGGGUCAAAGACACGGGCUGGUCAUGGUUCCACCAGCACCUGGUCUCCAAGGUGAACUGCUCUGACUCUGCUUUGUCACAAUCUGGCUGUAAAACUGGGGGAACAGUAGCACCCGUCCUGAAGGCAGCUGUCCCUACAGGCAUGCCUAGUUUUAGGAGCUUUGUAAGGGUGUGGAGAAUCAUUUCUCAUGAUGUGGCCAGUGAUGCUUCACCACAGCUUUUUUUGGGAUGAGGGAUGCAAGUCAAUCUGAUCAUAUAUACAUGAGAAAAAUCAAUGCCCUGGCAAAACCAGUCCUAUUUCUGGCUAGAACAUGUCAAAACUCAUCUUCAAAAUGCAUCUUGAGUCAUAACCACAUCCAGUUCAUUGGAGGAACCUCACUCCCUGGCCUUGUUGGGUGCAGGGAUAACAUCCUUCAUCUGCGAUCUUCACCACAUACAGAACUCAACACCAGAAACUGAGUGGUUUGGGAUGAAGAGGAGGGAACAGCAUGCAUGGGGCAUAGCCUGGAGUUCAUCUUUGCAUGCAAGGUGGGAUGGGGAUCCCAUGAAAAAGUUGAACAUGCGGAAAUGAAUUAAAAGCUGUCUUCAAAGCAGUGCUUGUGUGUGUUGGCUGACUAAGAUUGCAAGGAUAACUCUAACACCAGGUCUCCACACCAGGCCAUGGCUGCGAUGCCUCAGCCUGACACAGGCCGUGUUUCAGUCGGUUAAGGAGAGGCAGCUGAGUGACCCAGCAGAGCCAUGAAGGGAUGGUGGGCAAGGAUGGUAUCACUGGACAGCCAAGAGGUUUUGAAGAUGCAAAAUGUGAAGUGCAGAUUUUUAAGGUGUUUAUAGCUCUAUCCAGCCACAGACAGCUUUUCAAAGAUCAGCAAGAGACCUAGCACAUCUCUGCCAGAAAAUUUGUCCCUUGCUAAACAACAGACUCCAGAGAUCUUGUCUUCAGAUAGGGUGAUGUUUUAAUGGCUGAACAAAUAUUUUCCUUGACUUUGCUCUGGGAAACAGCUGGGCUGUUAUGGGCAGAUUUGGGAAAAAAAAUAAUAAUAAUAAUAAAACCAGCUCUCUAGCAUUUCAGUGAAAGUAGGUAAAGCUUGGCAAACUUCCCAUAACUGCAAACUGGGUUUUUGCUGUGGGCAGUGCUGGGCAGCAUUAGAAGGCAGCAGGCAGCCAUGGUGCCCAGAGCUGGGCAGCCCAGGCGCCAGCUGGAGGAGCUGGCAGCACACCGGCCAGCUUUCCUGCCAGGAAUCAGCCUGGCAAGCCAGUUCAAUAGCCUGCCUGUGUCCCACUGGAAAGCAUCAAGGAAGAUGUCACCAGUGAUGAUAUUGCUGACAACUCAGUGGACUCUACCAGGAAAAUUAUCCAUCAGAAAAAGAGAAAAUAAAAAACUGCCAACUUUAUGCUUGAGCAUCUCUGCCCAAAUAGUAACACCCUGUGGAAGACAAAUUCCCUUUUAGCACAGGAUUUUGCUGUGGUCCCAUGCAGAAUUUGCCAUGAGAGAUGAACAUCUCAGCUGUGUAGCAGGGCAGCUCCAGCCACCUCACUCUGCAAAACAGCCACCUGCACAUCCCGGCGUCACGGCGCCACUUCAACCGGUGACUCAGGCGCUGGCCUUUGCAUAUCUGCCAUGAACUCCAGUUUAUGCAGGGCCUGACUGCUUUGCUUAUGCAUUUCUACAUCUCUAGAUCCUAGGAGAUGAUGUUUGUCUUCCCUCUGCAGUCAUGGUAGGAAGGGCCAGUAAGCUGGGCUCAGGAUGGGGCAGCCUUCCCAAAGUGCAGCUGAUCUUCCUCUUGCUUUGUUAAGACAGGUUUAGCAGGAGUGGGUGUCACAUCUGCCUUCUCUCUCCAGGGCUGAGUGCCCCAGAAGAGCAAGCAUCAUGAACACAUCCUCCUUGUUUUCCAAAGAUCCUGUGAAACUCCUGCCUGGUCUUCAUUCAGUCAGGACUCAAAGUAUGAAAUGAUAAAGUCCUCUUGGGUUUUUUCAUCAUUCAGUCUCAGGCACACAGAAAGCUCACUAGGUUUUGCAGUGUCUGGUUGAAUCCACAUGCUUAUCUUUGCAGGGAUACUUUGGAGUCAAGGCUGAUUUCUACCUGAGCCUAAGUUGAUGUUUUGAGGCCAGCCAUAAGCAGCCCCAUGUCCCAGGCUCUGUCACCUCAGGCUGGUGGCUGCUGCUGAGACCUGGCUGCACCCAGCCCACAUGGGCUUGAGGAAGAGCUGGGGUUGGCAGCUCCCCUAGGACUCAGGGAAAGUGAGAUGGAUUGAAAACUGGCCCAGAAUGUGGUGAUUAGCAGUACAAACUCUAGCUGGAGGCCAGUCACUAGCACAGUAUCUCAGGGGUCAAAACCACAUCCAGGUCUGUUGGGAAGUAGCUUUUCUGAAAAGGAUCUGGAGAUCUUAGCAGGCACCACACUGAACAUUAGCCACAGAGAAGACUAAGGGUGUCCUGGGUUGCCUUAGUCAAAUUCCCCUGUGCUCAGCCAUGGUGGAUCAGCCCUAAAGCCUUGUGUCCAGUGCUGGGCUUCUCAGUGCCAGGGAGAUAGGGACACAGUGGGGAGAGGCCAGUGAAGGUACACGAAGGUGAAUGAAGGACUGAGAGAGGGUGGAAAGCAGAGGGAGCCAGGCUCUUCCCAACAGUGCCCAGUGCCAGGACCAGAGGCCAUGGGCACACGCUAGAACACAGGAGGGUCCCUCUGAACUUGGGGAAACGCUUUUUCAUUGUGAGUAGGACCAAGCACUGGCACAGCUGGCCGCGGACGUUGUGGAGGCUCCAUCCUUAGAGAUGUCCAGCAGCUGUCUGGACACGAGCCUGGACAGCCAGCCCUGGGUGACCCUGCUGCAGCAGGGCUUGGAGAAGAUGGCCUCCGGAGGUGCCUCACCUCAGCCCGCUGUGGCUCUGUGAGCUCCUCCAGAGGAACAUGGAGCCUUUUGUUCACCCCAGGUUCCACCUUGGGGCUGGCAAGACGUGAUGGGGUGACAGGAAUAACGAGGUGACUGCAGGUGGCGAUGCGGUGACAGUGUAACAGGGCUGUGACCAGGCUGAGGUGGGGUCGUCAGGGUGGCAGAGGUGACGGUGUCUGCAGCGGUGUGAGGGUGUCAGGGUGUGGCGGGCGUGUGACAGGCUGCGAUGGCGCGGGCAGGGGGAGGCUGGGCGGGUGACUCGGCUGCAGAGGGGUGUCAGGGUGUGGCGGGGCGGUGGCACGGCACAGGAGGCAGGCCACGGGGAGG
Long non-coding RNA from Vidua macroura (Pin-tailed whydah), 4254 nucleotides. RefSeq lists it as uncharacterized. Lineage: Eukaryota; Metazoa; Chordata; Aves; Passeriformes; Viduidae. The transcript is spliced from 3 exons. The record is from RefSeq and is a predicted model, not a curated record.